Molecule: ribosomal RNA, 433 nt
Filed under: uncultured bacterium
Lineage: Bacteria
Description: bacterial SSU rRNA
Rfam family: Bacterial small subunit ribosomal RNA
Source: RNAcentral
GAUGAACGCUGGCGGCGUGCUUAACACAUGCAAGUCGAACGAUUAAGACGGCUUCGGCCGUGUAUAGAGUGGCGAACGGGUGAGUAACACGUGACCAACCUGCCCCGCGCUCCGGGACAACCGCUGGAAACGGCGGCUAAUACCGGAUGCUCCGGGGAGGCCCCAUGGCCUCCCCGGGAAAGCCCUGACGGCGCGGGAUGGGGUCGCGGCCCAUUAGGUAGACGGCGGGGUAACGGCCCACCGUGCCCGCGAUGGGUAGCCGGACUGAGAGGUCGACCGGCCACAUUGGGACUGAGAUACGGCCCAGACCCCUACGGGAGGCAGCAGUGGGGAAUUUUGCGCAAUGGGGGGAACCCUGACGCAGCAACGCCGCGUGCGGGACGAAGGCCUUCGGGUUGUAAACCGCUUUCAGCAGGGAAGACAUAGACGGUAC